GGCGGGGUGGUUGGAAGGGGGCAACCGUUUCCUUAGUCAUGGCAAAUUGUUACCAAAUGGCUGUUAAUACAUUUGAUGUUCAGAAAACUUUUUCCAACCACCAAAUUGCAAGGAGAUCCUGGAACAAUCUCCCAGGAAAGGCAGAAGGACCAAAACUUAAUCAGGCUCUGAAAAAGAUGCAUCCAGUCCUAAAGGCCUUUGUGUGUGGCUCCAUCAGUGGGACUUGCUCCACACUCCUCUUCCAACCCCUUGACCUGCUGAAAACCCGCCUGCAAACUCUGCAGCCUGCUGUGAAUGGGUCCGGUCGUGCUGGGAUGGUAACGCUUCUUUUCAGGGUUGUUCGUACUGAGAGUCUUCUGGGGCUCUGGAAAGGUGUCUCUCCAUCCUUUGCAAGAUGUAUUCCUGGGGUUGGGAUUUACUUCAGCACUUUGUACAUGAUGAAGCAAAAGUUUCUAGUGGACCGUUCACCCACAGCCCUGGAGUCUGUCUUUCUGGGUGCCACUGCACGUGCAAUAUCUGGGAUUUGCAUGUUGCCAGUGACUGUAGUGAAGACCCGAUAUGAGAGUGGAAGAUUUGGCUAUGGGAGUGUAUAUGGAGCUCUGAAGAAUAUCUAUCAGACAGAAGGGGCUCGUGGCAUGUUCAGCGGGCUCACCGCAACGCUGCUGCGGGACGCACCCUUCUCUGGGAUCUACCUGAUGUUCUACACACAGACCAAAAAAUUCACACCUCAGGACCAGUUGGAUCCGGUGCUCAUGCCCUUGCUGAAUUUUGGCUGUGGGAUCUUUGCAGGAAUCUUGGCCUCACUGGCAACACAGCCUGCUGAUGUCAUCAAAACACACAUGCAGUUGUCCCCCCAAAAGUACCGCAGGACAAGCCAGGCCAUUGCCUUCAUUUACAAGGACUUUGGAUUGGUCGGCUUUUUCCAAGGUGGUGUGCCCCGUGCCCUCAGGCGGACUCUGAUGGCAGCAAUGGCAUGGACAGUGUAUGAACAGAUGAUGGAAAAAAUGGGCUUGAAAUCUUGACUGACUUGCACAGAAAUGACCAGCUUCACUCCUCCUGCUUGCUGUGAUCAACUGGCACUAGGAAGUUCCCAGUUCCACAGAGGAAUAAGCCUUGCUCAGCCAGGAGGCAGAAAACCCUUCUGAGACAGGGUGUUAGGCCUUUUGGCAAGAGACGAAAGAAGGAUUGGAUCUUUGCAUCAUUUAUCAAUGCAUUCCAGAAGAUUGCACUUGCAGAUUGCCACAGGAAAUGGCAGGGUUUCCACAGCCUGAUGUUGCCUAGAUGAUGCAUUCUUACAUGGAGCGAUUUUUGUGAAGAAUUAUCUGUGUGUAACAGACUUACCAGGUGGUCCUGAUGUGCAGCUUUGUGCCCGCUGAACCCGAACUGCUUAUGCAGGUACCUGAUAACCAAAUUAGGCUGGCGAUAGCGCCCGCUGUUAAACUCCAGGCUCCCCAGAGCUCUCCUGCUGCUUGGAGAACCACCUUCAGUGUAGGGAGUGUUUCUGCUCAUGCUGCCGAGAGCUGCCCCAGCUGUGAGAAGAGAUAGCAGACAGGCUCGCUAACCCUCUUGGGUGGUGGAGAGUGGGAAAGAUAGAAAAGGAACAGUUUAAAGGCACUGUCCUUGUAAUAAAAUGUUGAAUUACGGAUAUUCCUUUCACCUAAAAACCAGGCAAAUGCUUUGCUUGCUUUUUUAAUUUUUAUUUUUUAAUGUAUUAUGUGCCAUGCAUAAUGACCGAUACCAGUACUGAGCAGAAAAUAUUCCUCAUCUCUCACACACACAUAUAUAUGGGUACUUUCGCAAAACCAAUAUAGAGCUCUUGCCUAUGCUUAUUGCUUCUGGUUUCAAAAUAUCGAGCUGAUUUUCCACAUUGCACUGUUUCUUAAUUUCCAAUUUUAUCACUAUAACAUGCUUUGGGAGAUUUUAUCAUAAUGCAUUAAGGAAUUUUAGUAAAAAUGACAAACCCCAGUAAGAGGUUAAAAUGAGACUUCCACAAGUUUUCUGACAGAUGUUAGGCAAUUCUGGCUUUCUAGAACUAGAAAUAAGAAGGGAAUAGAUUUGCUGCAGUAUGUUUCCCCAAAACAUGAAAGAAAUAGUUACGAACUGAAACACAAGCCAAUAUGGUAUUUUACAAAAAGGCACAGUAUUGUGCAGCUUCUGUAGAGGUGAGUUGAUCUCCGUGGGUUCCUCUUUGUCUUCUGGAGGGCCCAGCUCCAGGGGUGCCACACCCUCUCUUAGAUGAUGCCCACUGGCACUUUGGGUGGGACAGAUACUGCCCAAACAUCUUCCUUCCUGAGCGUCUUCCCGAGACACCAUUCGAUCCAUUUGCCACAGACAGAGAACCCCUCCACUGCAGUGCAGUGGCUCUCCCACCACUGGGGUGUCCUGUUACAGCCCCCUGCUCCGGUUUGUGGGGGAAUAGACUGAAUUCAAGGAGAAAGCCACCGGUACAUGCUCUAUACUAAAAUUGUUAUUUGGCAUUUCUGUGUGUCCCAGUAAAUAUGUGGCUUAAUUGCGUAUGUCUCAGGCCCAUAGAUUUGGGAAAUGCUUUUGGAUUUUUCACACAGUUUUCUGCCCGCACGUUUCAUGCUUGAUGUGGUUUGUCUGUUGCACCCCCCCUGCUUUUUUUUGCUUUUUUUUUAAAUUAAAGCAUCAGAAGUUUCCAUAUUCCCUUCAGGAUUGCAGAUGAUCCUCUGCCAAAUGCAGCUCUUCUCUUGUGACACUUUGUGAUCUGACCCAAGUGCUGACCCUUGCCACUCUAUUGCAGAGUUCCCCAAGGCUUUGGGAGCAGUUCUCUGGUGAGGCAGAGAGACGAUUUGUUAUGCUCCAGGCUAUGCACCAGACAUGCUGCUGACAUACGGGGACAAGGUCCUAACUGUGAGCCGCCGGAGCUCAGCAGGAGCACGGGAAGCUCUGCCGCUCUGGCAGGUCAGGCGUGGGCACAUACAGUAUGAACCUGCUUGUGCUUCACUGGGACUGGGUAGAGGAAUCAAGGCUCAAGCAAAACAAUUCCCUUGCAAUUGAAUAAGGCGAGUAAAAUCCAAGCAGAUGAAUCCGUAUAAUAAUGGGGGCCUUUUGGGGUGCACAGCCAUGCAUGCCCAUCAGGUAAAUGCCAGAUUUGCAUACAGAUGUAGCCACUGAAUGUCUUGCUUUUUGUUUUCUAGGACCUGAGUGUGGCUGAGCUGGCUUCUGCAAGCCCAGUUCAGCCCAUGGAGUGGGCAUGCUACAGAAGCCAUGCCCAGGUAAGCUGUCCUAGCUGUCUGCAUGGGAAGGGAUGGGGCAAGCGCCAUCCCGCCCCCUCUCCGUGCCCUCCCAAACCUCUCCAGCACACCAAACCAGGGCAGCUCAAACAGGAACAGCCCUGGCUGUGGCCUUGGCCACCUGGGUUACUCAAAAAUUUUGCCCACCGUGUGUGUUGUUCCCUACAGCUGUAGGGUAGCCUGUGAUGAGAAUGGCAGGGUGCAUCGCUCCAGGGGCUCUUCCAAGCAUUUCACCAGUUGCUGUCAGUGGCUGACAAUAGUUUGCACGACAGAAGUAGGAAUAUCUCUAUCCUUCCCAUUCAAGCUCAUUACAUUUAAUAUCAGCUUCAAUAUCUUUGUAAUCAGAUGUGGUGUUUAAGCUGGAAGAAGUUUCUCUUGGUUAAGGAAUAUUUUGAAGCUAACUCAACUUUUAAAAACAAUGUCUGUCACACUCUAUAUAAUUAUGUAACCAAGUUCAGUGUGAAUAGUGACAGGGAGACAUGGUCUAAAAUACACGAUAAGACAGAUACAUUUCUACCUGAGGGAGGUGUUCAUUAGUGACAAAGGUUUAUUUUAAAGUCUCUCAGCAUGCACUUAAAAAAUAAACCAAACUUUCAGGUUGCUUAAGAAAAUAAUUAAGAAAUACUUUACUGUCAAGCUUUAGCAUGACUCUUCCAAGCCCUCUCAUGGGCUGUGGAGCUUGUGGUCUACCAGAAAGGGCCCAAACUGUAGCAACAAGAAAUAAGUAAAGUAUCAGAGAUUCCAGAGGAGUCUGAAAUGCUUACCAGGAUCACUCCUUUGAUAACACCAUAUUUACUGUAAUAUUUGUUACUGAACUUCCAAUCAUUAUGUUCAAAUAUAAUCAAACAUAACUGUAUUAAAAGUAUGCAGAAGAGCUCUCCUAACUACAUCCAUUGCACACCCUUCAGUAACACCAUCACCUCCCCUCUCACCUCCUCCCCUCCACCCAAGCUACUACUCACAUCGUGCUCCUGAUAGGAGAUAUGGGUUGCACACAGCCCCAACAGGUCAGCUCUCACUACCCACAGCACACUUAUCAAAGUGCCACAAAAGUCUAUAAUCUGUUAGGUACCUGUGUAAUAGUUCAUGUUCUUGCUGAGAGCUCGCUUAACUAUUUGCUGCGUUUCGUUUUACCUACCUUUGUCACCACCACGUGGCAAAUGUGUGAAUUAUUCUCUUAGAGAAUAUUCUAAAACUGCUCUGGUAAUCUUGCUAAUUAAGAUCAUCUAACAUGCAUACAGAAAAGAACAGUGUGAGGCCCAGCUCUUGACUUGCAGGUUGAAGUUUUGUGUGAAUGAUGGAAAGUGACUGACAGUAAAUGCACAAACUGCUGCUCACCAAAACAGGACAAGGUCUCAUUGUACAGGAAGUGAAGAACAUACAUGAGAUGAUGAUGUGACCUCCUACUUAAAUAAUCUUCUGCACAGCAACUCAGUGAGCAGUCAUUGCAAAGGGGCUAUCAGGAGGUUCGAUGCCCAACCACACUGCUAUAGUUAUAUUUGGUUAAAAUAGAUGAGAAAACUAAAGGAGCGCUGCUGUUAGAAAGACAUGAACAUGAAUUAUUACUUGCAGAAGGCACUGGCAAUAGUGUCUGCACUUGUGUUGGGUUUGUGUGGCAAGGUUUUGGUAGCAGGGGGGGCUACAGGGGUGGCUUCUGUGAGAAGCUGCUAGAAGCAAACCCUGUGUCUGAUAGAGCCAAUGCCAGCCGGCUCUAAGACAGGCCCGCCGCUGGCCAAGGCUGAGCCAAUCAGCGCCUCUGUGAUAACAUAUUUAAGAAGGAAAAAAACAGAGCUUUUUGCAG
Molecule: RNA transcript, 5058 nt
Organism: Grus americana (Whooping crane)
Lineage: Eukaryota; Metazoa; Chordata; Aves; Gruiformes; Gruidae
Gene: SLC25A38
Gene name: solute carrier family 25 member 38
Exons: 8
Source: RefSeq, a predicted model, not a curated record